Molecule: long non-coding RNA, 1646 nt
Filed under: Danio rerio (zebrafish)
Lineage: Eukaryota; Metazoa; Chordata; Actinopteri; Cypriniformes; Danionidae
Description: lncRNA (ENSDARG00000117363.1)
Source: RNAcentral
GAGCUUGUAUGUCGCUGAAUACUUCACAGUAGGCUACAGGUGAGUGUACAUGUGGAGAAGUUAAUGGCAUUCGGUGACUGCGUUGGGAAAGCAGCUAGAGAUGACCGUGAAGUGAAAUCCUGUGACAACAGUGUGUGAGGCGCGACAUGAAGCGUGCUAAACGUCGACCUUUCUGUGUUUUCAGGUAAAGCAGAGGAGGAAAACCACGCUAUUUGCCAAACCUGCUCCACACAAUGGUAAGUACAUAGUAUUUAAUUAAAAACGUCAGCUUUUAGUGCUAUAUAAUGCAUUAUAUACUGAAUAUGUGUCGAAUUAUCUGCUGUUUUGAGUCGAAUUGAUCGCUGAUUCGGAGUUAGUGUUGCUACAUCAUUCAUGCUGACUUAAAGUCUAGAAUUGAUGGCGUAUUCAGAUUUAUUAGUAGCGAAAACCGUUUUAAAAUCUCAAUAUAGGUAGUUUUUUAACGCUAAUGUGCUUGAUUUUGGAUCUGCGUUUUCAGGUCAAGCAAAGCAGAGGGGGGAUCCAUGCUAUUUGUCAGUCCAGCUGCACACAAGUGAUGUAUAUGUGCUGCCGAAGCAAGCACGAAGUAAGCGCCCGGACGUCUGCUAUAUAUCCCAGGGACUUCUGGGUAUGUUUCUGCCAAGUGCAGAUCUUUUGUCCUCGCGUCCUUCUCCUUCCCCCACAUGCAUGCGCAGACCUUCCCCCGCCGCAGACCAGAGGACAACACACUCCGACACCAGCAAACAGCCGGGCGAAACAUUCACAGACACUCGGAGGCUAAGAAGAUCUAAACUCCGUGAUAGCUAAGAUCAAACUAUUUCAUAACUGUAACAAGAGGCGAUUCCAUCAUAACGUAAUGUUGAAAUGGAUAGCAUAACAUUAUUCAUCAAUGUGUGACUCUUUUUUUUUUGGGUUCUCGGAAGCUGUAGAAAGUAAAAAUGUACAACAGGAAAUGCGCUGGGACCGUUGCUUUUGUUUACAUCCCUCAAAAUAGUCUAUAGCGUAGUCACGAAGUGUUUUAAACGGAGUUUAGGUGCUCUGUAUUGAGUCGUGAUGAUGUAUAUCGUCGCCUUACAAUUAUAAGGUUCUAUCUGACAUUUUUGUCAAAAUUGAGUUAUUGACAUAUUAUAUAUGACAUAUUAUAUGACAUAUUCUUAUUAAAUGACAACUUAUUUACAUUGUGAUGUGUUUUUAUAUAUAUAUUUUAUUUACAUUUUAAGACGUUUUAUUUAAAAAAUAAAAACGGUUUAUCUACAAAAUUGAAUUCUAGCUUGGUUCUAUAAGGUUCUUUCUGUGAGCCAAUCAGCAUUUUUAAUGCACGCACGAGGACCAAUCAGGAUCAGCUUUUUUUGUUGUCACAUGCCGCACUGCUCCAUUGACAGCGGGAAACACCAGGAAGAAACCCAAAAAUCAUACAAAAUCGGAGUUGGCUAAAAAAACGCCACAGCAGACAAAUUGAGAUGUGAUGAUUUAGAAGCUUUUUUUGACAUUGAGAUUAAAUGUAAAAUUUUACACUGUUGAAAUAGAAACGAAAUAUUUUAAAAAAUUACAUAUUAAAUGUGAAAUAUUUUUGUGUGUGUGUGUAUGUAUAUGUAUAUUUAUAUAUAUUUAUAUAUAUAUUAUAUAUAUAUAUAUAUAUAUAUAUAUAU